Molecule: long non-coding RNA, 1304 nt
Filed under: Brassica rapa (field mustard)
Lineage: Eukaryota; Viridiplantae; Streptophyta; Magnoliopsida; Brassicales; Brassicaceae
Description: long non-coding RNA (BRAP_LNC002792)
Source: RNAcentral
UUCAAUCAGGUGAAUAGACCUGUAUUUGCUUUGAAAAGACUCUAAAACAUGAUUAAUACAUCUUAAAACCUUUAUAUACCAUGUAUAAAAGCGGGUGAAAAUCAUGGUAUAUCAACUCCCCCAGACUUAUCUUCUGACUUGUCCUCAAGUUAAACCAAUGGACAAUCUCUCUGGAAGAGGGUUGAAAACAUCAGGGACUCACAGAUUUGAAAUAUUGAAGUCAUCACCUCUAUAAUAUUGCAUUCCACAUCUAAGGUUCCUUCUUACAGAUAUACAUUAUGCAAUAUCCUAUCUUAGCAACCAAAAUCAUCUAGCCAACAAUCUUAACCAAUCUUAUUAUCAAUCUCCUCAACCAACCUCAUUUCUUAAUGUAAAAAGUGUAGGCUUUACCUUGGGAGUAUCGAUCACAGGAUGCAAGGAUUUCAGACAAGUAUUUGGAGCUGCAGGUAAAAGUUAGUUCCUAGUUUCUCUCUCUCUCUAAAUUUCUCUCUUGGGUCAAAGUCUGCUUCCAUUGCAGGAUCAGUGACCAAGAUUGGACAGGCUUCCACGAAUCAAAACUUAAUGGUGGUUGCCACCAAGUUCUGUUCACUUCUUUUUAACCUAUAUCCGAGAGUUCUUUGCGAAAGCGAGCCUUGAAGAUUGCCGCCUCCAAGUCCCGUUUCGAACUCUUUUAUUUGAGUCUUUAUGAAUCAAGCCUUAAUGGUUUUAGCCACCAAGUCCUAUUCAGACUCAUCCUAAUUAAACAUUAGAUCUUUUUUUUUUUUUUUAGAGACAUCUAGGGUCGAAAUCUAGAGAGAGAAAAUGUGAUAAAUAAUCUAAACCAGGCGUUACCUUCCAGACAUGUCUGAAAAAUCCGAUCCCAUGUAUACCAAGCCCCAAAACAAGCAGUGAAGUCAGGUUAGUGUUGGAGGUUAGCUUCGGUUCUUUCUAACAAGUUAGCAAGUGUGCAUAGUUGACUGGUCGAUCCACUUUAGCAUCUAUAGUAUUGUCUGCAGUCAGUAAAUCUAGAAUGGUGCUAGAAAGUGGUUAGACAUUCAAGUAGAAAUCAGUAGUUCAUAAUCCCCUUCUUGACUCAAUAAAAUUAUUUUUGAAAAGAUUUUUGGCAAAAACUCAAGAAAAUGGUGUUAGUAACUACCUCCCCCAGACUUAAAUUGCACCGACCCGGUGCAAAGUGUCAAAGGGUAGGUUAAAAUCAAGUUAGAUGUUUGAGAAAUGUUAGAGUAAAAAGUAAGUACCUAUCCGUACUACCAUCGAUCGAUGUCAUCCUCUCCAUAUUGAUCGAUGUUACUCGCUUAGAAUCGAUC